UGCGGAGGGGGCUAGCGUUGUUCGGAAUUACUGGGCGUAAAGCGCGCGUAGGCGGAUCUGCAAGUCGGGGGUGAAAUCCCGAGGCUCAACCUCGGAACUGCCUUCGAUACUGCGGGUCUCGAGUCCGGGAGAGGUGAGUGGAAUUCCUAGUGUAGAGGUGAAAUUCGUAGAUAUUAGGAAGAACACCAGUGGCGAAGGCGGCUCACUGGCCCGGUACUGACGCUGAGGAGCGAAAGCGUGGGGAGCAAACAGG
RNAcentral lists this ribosomal RNA (253 nucleotides) under uncultured bacterium. RNAcentral describes it as "partial 16S ribosomal RNA". It matches the Rfam family "Bacterial small subunit ribosomal RNA", at positions 524 to 776 of the family's 1533-position model. The record is from RNAcentral.